UGGGGAAUAUUGCACAAUGGGGGAAACCCUGAUGCAGCGACGCCGCGUGAACGAAGAAGGUAUUCGUAUCGUAAAGUUCUGUCCUAUGGGAAGAUAAUGACAGUACCAUAGAAGAAAGCUCCGGCUAAAUACGUGACAGCAGCCGCGGUAAUACGUAUGGAGCGAGCGUUGUCCGGAAUUAUUGGGCGUAAAGGGUACGCAGGCGGUUUAAUAAGUCGAAUGUUAAAGAUCGGGGCUCAACCCCGCAAAGCAUUGGAAACUGAUAAACUUGAGUAGUGGAGAGGAAAGUGGAAUUCCUAGAGUAGUGGUGAAAUACGUAGAUAUUAGGAGGAAUACCAGUAGCGAAGGCGACUUUCUGGACACAAACUGACGCUGAGGUACGAAAGCGUGGGGAGCAAACAGG
Molecule: ribosomal RNA, 403 nt
Filed under: bacterium
Lineage: Bacteria
Description: partial 16S ribosomal RNA
Rfam family: Bacterial small subunit ribosomal RNA
Source: RNAcentral